AUAUACAUUGGUGUAUGAUAUGUAUAGACAUGUGCAGAUGGUGUUUUAAAUAGAGCUAGUACAGUUAAUUCUAAAACCAACCCACUACUCUAUUUCUCGAAACCUUAGCCAACUACCACCUCUGACUAAUUAUUUUCUGUAUUAUUGACCCAAAUUUGCUAAAGUUUAGAUACCUUAAUAUGAAAUAAUUUUGCUUGUCGAUCAGUGUAAUCUAGUACUGGGUUGGUUUCUUACACUAGUAGGAAGACUAACAGAGGCAGAGUACAGUUCUGAAAAUUUGCACUUGUUCAUUGCACUAAACUAUAUCCUCCUUUUACAGUCCGCAGGAGGUGCAAGAUACUCAUCAAGGUUUUGGGUGAAACACAUUUAAAUGUACUACAUACACACAUGCAUGCACAUACAAACAUGCACACAUCCAUUUUUACACCCACACUUCUGAAAAAAUGCACUUUUCAGAUGUUUAUUUUUUGGAAUGGUAAAUUCUUACAUAUCAGCCUAUGUAAACACUGUAUAUCCUCAGUAAUACAAGAGGGUUUUAAUGUAUGUAAAACCAGGUUUACUUCCUGAUCUUCACCUCUUCUUUUACGCAGUUUUAUGAAGAUAACGUGAACUGUUCUGUUAAAGUGGUUUUACACCAUCUGUAUCAGGGCAUGUGCUUCGGCUUGUCCAUGUUCAUGUGCAAAGUAUAUACAGUAUGCAUCCAUGGACACUGGUGCCUGCAUUUAACAUGGGAAGCACAUGUAACAGGAGAUGCAGCAGACUUUCCCAGGAGAAACUGACUGACAGAAGACACGUUAUGUACUGUAUAGCUGCAGUUGGAAUGCUAGUAGCUAGUAAUAUGAUAUUCUCCUGAAGCAAUACGACUGGUGUCAGUGACAGCAGUGACCUGUCAAAGGAGGUUUUAGUAAACCAUACUUGAUUUACUACUGGUUUUUAAGUUCAAAUACUUUUUACCACUGUGUUCCAAUAACAUUUGCAUUGUUUCAUAGAAGUGACAAGCCUUUUUUUUUUUAUUUAACAGUUUACCUAAUGCCUUAUUUAUUAUUGAGUUUUUGGAUAUGCCUGGCAAGAUUGCCAAAUCAGUAUGUUUUUGUCCUUCUGUACAUGAGCAGAAGUUUACAAUAAAAUAGAUACCCAUGACUUUACAUUGAGAUGCUGUCUGUAUACUUCACCCAAGUUGGGCUGAUGCUCAAGUGUAAAAAUAUAAAGAUCCAAAUUGGUGUUAAAAAAAAAA
Sphaeramia orbicularis (orbiculate cardinalfish) is the source of this 1234-nucleotide long non-coding RNA. RefSeq lists it as uncharacterized. The record is from RefSeq and is a predicted model, not a curated record. The transcript is spliced from 2 exons. NCBI's taxonomy places the organism in Eukaryota, Metazoa, Chordata, Actinopteri, Kurtiformes, Apogonidae.